Molecule: ribosomal RNA, 1804 nt
Filed under: Listeria monocytogenes
Lineage: Bacteria; Bacillati; Bacillota; Bacilli; Caryophanales; Listeriaceae
Description: bacterial LSU rRNA
Rfam family: Bacterial large subunit ribosomal RNA
Source: RNAcentral
AAGAGUGCGUAAUAGCUCACUGGUCGAGUGACCCCGCGCCGAAAAUGUACCGGGGCUAAACAUAUUACCGAAACUGUGGAUGAACCUCUUUAGAGGUUCGUGGUAGGAGAGCGUUCUAAGGGCGGUGAAGUCAGACCGGAAGGACUGGUGGAGCGCUUAGAAGUGAGAAUGCCGGUAUGAGUAGCGAAAGAAGGGUGAGAAUCCCUUCCACCGAAUAUCUAAGGUUUCCUGAGGAAGGCUCGUCCGCUCAGGGUUAGUCGGGACCUAAGCCGAGGCCGAUAGGCGUAGGCGAUGGACAACAGGUAGAGAUUCCUGUACCAGUGCUAAUUGUUUAACCGAUGGGGUGACACAGAAGGAUAGGGAAUCGCACGAAUGGAAAUGUGCGUCCAAGCAGUGAGUGUGAGAAGUAGGCAAAUCCGCUUCUCGCGAAGCAUGAGCUGUGAUGGGGAAGGAAAUUAAGUACGGAAGUUCCUGAUUUCACGCUGUCAAGAAAAGCCUCUAGGAAGAGUAGUACUGCCCGUACCGCAAACCGACACAGGUAGAUGAGGAGAGAAUCCUAAGGUGAGCGAGAGAACUCUCGUUAAGGAACUCGGCAAAAUGACCCCGUAACUUCGGGAGAAGGGGUGCUCUAUUAGGGUGCAAGCCCGAGAGAGCCGCAGUGAAUAGGCCCAGGCGACUGUUUAGCAAAAACACAGGUCUCUGCAAAACCGUAAGGUGACGUAUAGGGGCUGACGCCUGCCCGGUGCUGGAAGGUUAAGAGGAGUGCUUAGCUUCGGCGAAGGUACGAAUUGAAGCCCCAGUAAACGGCGGCCGUAACUAUAACGGUCCUAAGGUAGCGAAAUUCCUUGUCGGGUAAGUUCCGACCCGCACGAAAGGCGCAACGAUCUGGGCACUGUCUCAACGAGAGACUCGGUGAAAUUAUAGUACCUGUGAAGAUGCAGGUUACCCGCGACAGGACGGAAAGACCCCGUGGAGCUUUACUGCAACCUGAUAUGGAAUGUUUGUACCGCUUGUACAGGAUAGGUAGGAGCCGAAGAGACGUGUGCGCUAGCAUACGAGGAGGCAAUGGUGGGAUACUACCCUGGCUGUAUGACCAUUCUAACCCGCCACGCUUAGCGCGUGGGGAGACAGUGUCAGGUGGGCAGUUUGACUGGGGCGGUCGCCUCCUAAAGAGUAACGGAGGCGCCCAAAGGUUCCCUCAGAAUGGAUGGAAAUCAUUCGCAGAGUGUAAAGGCACAAGGGAGCUUGACUGCGAGACUGACAAGUCGAGCAGGGACGAAAGUCGGGCUUAGUGAUCCGGUGGUUCCGCAUGGAAGGGCCAUCGCUCAACGGAUAAAAGCUACCCCGGGGAUAACAGGCUUAUCUCCCCCAAGCGUCCACAUCGACGGGGAGGUUUGGCACCUCGAUGUCGGCUCGUCGCAUCCUGGGGCUGUAGUCGGUCCCAAGGGUUGGGCUGUUCGCCCAUUAAAGCGGCACGCGAGCUGGGUUCAGAACGUCGUGAGACAGUUCGGUCCCUAUCCGUCGCGGGCGCAGGAAAUUUGAGAGGAGCUGUCCUUAGUACGAGAGGACCGGGAUGGACACACCGCUGGUGUACCAGUUGUUCCGCCAGGAGCAUCGCUGGGUAGCUAUGUGUGGCAGGGAUAAACGCUGAAAGCAUCUAAGCGUGAAGCCCCCCUCAAGAUGAGAUUUCCCAUUUCUUCGGAAAGUAAGAUCCCUGAAAGAUGAUCAGGUAGAUAGGUUUGGAGUGGAAGUGUAGCGAUACAUGGAGCGGACAAAUACUAAUCGAUCGAGGACUUAACCAAAA